UACGUAGGGUGCAAGCGUUGUCCGGAAUUAUUGGGCGUAAAGAGCUCGUAGGCGGCUAGUCGCGUCGGCUGUGAAAACCUGGGGCUCAACCCCGGGCCUGCAGCCGAUACGGGCUAGCUAGAAUUCGGUAGGGGAGACUGGAAUUCCUGGUGUAGCGGUGAAAUGCGCAGAUAUCAGGAGGGACACCGGUGGCGAAGGCGGGUCUCUGGGCCGAUAUUGACGCUGAGGAGCGAAAGCGUGGGGAGCGAACAGG
RNAcentral lists this ribosomal RNA (253 nucleotides) under uncultured bacterium. RNAcentral's name for it is "partial 16S ribosomal RNA". It matches the Rfam family "Bacterial small subunit ribosomal RNA", at positions 524 to 776 of the family's 1533-position model. The record is from RNAcentral.